This is a non-coding RNA of Phascolarctos cinereus (koala), 495 nucleotides long. The record is from RefSeq and is a predicted model, not a curated record. Lineage: Eukaryota; Metazoa; Chordata; Mammalia; Diprotodontia; Phascolarctidae.
AGUGGUCUGGAACUGAACCUGCAAUAUCUCUGAGGUGAAGGCGAAAGAGUCAGACAGACUUUGUGAAGUUCAAGAGGUCUACGGGCGAUGGGUUAGGAAGGGAGUUCAUGCCUAAAUAGGCAGAAAACUGAACAUGGUGAAGAGGGAAGCCCCAAGUGACCUAUGUGACCCAGCCAUCCAUCUGAGAUGCUGUUUUGUGUAACCAAGGGAAAGACUUUGUUCAUCGGCUAUGCCACGUUUGGAAGUGAAGCUGCGAGCAGGAAAGAGCAUACAGGAAAUAGAUGGAGACUGUGCCAGCCCCUGGAGAAGACCAGCCUAUUCUGGCUAUGUGACUGAUCUCAGGAGGUGACUCCCACCCACAUGGUGGGGAAACAGGAUAUCUUCUCCCAGAAGCAAGGUAGCUCCAUGUUACAUGACCUGGACAUGCGCAGAGUGAGCCCUGUUUGCACGUGCAUAAUGUGUGUGUUGUGUGUGUGUGUGUGUGUGUGUGUGUGU